This 497-nucleotide ribosomal RNA is filed under the name uncultured bacterium. RNAcentral describes it as "partial 16S ribosomal RNA". It matches the Rfam family "Bacterial small subunit ribosomal RNA", at positions 28 to 507 of the family's 1533-position model. The record is from RNAcentral.
GAUGAACGCUGGCGGCGUGCCUAAUACAUGCAAGUCGAGCGAACGGAUGAGAAGCUUGCUUCUCUGAUGUUAGCGGCGGACGGGUGAGUAACACGUGGAUAACCUACCUAUAAGACUGGGAUAACUUCGGGAAACCGGAGCUAAUACCGGAUAAUAUUUUGAACCGCAUGGUACAAAAGUGAAAGACGGUCUUGCUGUCACUUAUAGAUGGAUCCGCGCUGCAUUAGCUAGUUGGUAAGGUAACGGCUUACCAAGGCAACGAUGCAUAGCCGACCUGAGAGGGUGAUCGGCCACACUGGAACUGAGACACGGUCCAGACUCCUACGGGAGGCAGCAGUAGGGAAUCUUCCGCAAUGGGCGAAAGCCUGACGGAGCAACGCCGCGUGAGUGAUGAAGGUCUUCGGAUCGUAAAACUCUGUUAUUAGGGAAGAACAUAUGUGUAAGUAACUGUGCACAUCUUGACGGUACCUAAUCAGAAAGCCACGGCUAACUACGUG